Molecule: long non-coding RNA, 1361 nt
Filed under: Homo sapiens (human)
Lineage: Eukaryota; Metazoa; Chordata; Mammalia; Primates; Hominidae
Description: non-protein coding lnc-APOC3-6:9
Source: RNAcentral
AGUCUCCAGAGACCAUCUCCCAUCUCUACAGCGACUCCCCUAUGACCGUCCCCCACCCGGUGCUCUCGGGCCACGGGGAAGGGACACUCGGGAAAGACACCAGAGACCGGGAGGGUGCAGCUGGGCUCUUCGCGGGGAGCGGGCGGGAGGCCUUCCUGUUACAUGUCGCAGCUGGGACACAGACGGCAGCGCUCCAGGGUCCACUUGCCGGCUUCGGUUCCCUCAGGCCCAGGACCAGGCUCCACACCGCUGUCGCGUCCCUUAGCCGUGUGGGCUGUAGCACAGAGGGGGCAAACACCUCCAGGGGCUUGUGCCAAGUAAUUACCAAGCAAAUUCCCGGCGAUUUCCUCUCCUCCCCCCGCCCCCCCGGGCAGUGCCCGCUGCGUGUUCCCUGAUUCGGCCCCCGGCUGUGCAAUCAGCUCCAGGUAACCUGCGGGGACCCGUAAUUGCUCUGGAGUUGCCUGCGAGUUUGCAAGAUGCUCACAAAUAGAAUGGACAACAACACGGGUGACUCACUAAAAUGCUAUAAAAUCCCUGCUGUAAUAUGGACAGGAACAAAAGGCAAUAGAAGCUCAAUGGACCCAACCAGAGGGACACUUUUUAAUGACCAUUCCAGAGCCCAACAUAACCAGAGAAGAGAUUUAUAUCAUGAGGCUGUCAAACUUUCUCAGAUAAAGAGAGUGAUAGACUGAAUAAUCCAGGGUGGUAAGUGUGGGAAGUUCAGAUAACACUAAGGAAGUUAAGAGGAGAAAAAGUCAACAAGGACUGGGCCUACUCAAAGAAGACUUUUUGGGGUCAUGGACCUUGAACUGGGACUUGCUUGGAAGAUGGUAUUUGGAAGAAGAAUACAAAAAGGAAUAAAGGGUUGAGGAGAUUAAGCCAAGAUAAGGAAGUAGGAACAUGCACAAUAUAUUUGGAAACCUGGCCUUCUACACAGAGGGCCUGUGGCCAACUUCUUUUCUACUUCUCUUCAGGUUCCCAGUCACUGAAUUCCAAAGGUUUUUGUUAUAUGGUCCAGACUCAAGGCAUUCCUCUUGGCCUUUGGGCAAAGGAGCCCACCCUUUGUGUUUAUCCCUAAGAAAAAGAGAGAGUAGUCAGAACCCCUGCAGAGAGGUUUGACUCCCGGAAGCAACUGGUGUCCCACUUUAACCCUGGUUUCAAGUCUGGAAAAAACAGAAAACACUUAUUCUUACCUCUCUCCCCACCCCCAGAAGGAUAGAUUAAAAAAACAGAAGGUUAAGGAUUUUGCCAAAUAUGGAAAAAUGCUUUUGGCAUUCAAUGUGGCAAUCAAUCUCUAAAGAAUUAUUCAACAUUUGAUGUUCAUAUCCUCCUCAGUGUUAUCUCUAGAUUUCUCCUUUCAG